RNAcentral lists this long non-coding RNA (573 nucleotides) under Pongo abelii (Sumatran orangutan). Its description in RNAcentral is "lincRNA". The record is from RNAcentral. Lineage: Eukaryota; Metazoa; Chordata; Mammalia; Primates; Hominidae.
GCUUAUUUCAUCAGAGUCAUUUCAAAGCUCCAACAGUUUCAUCCCCUGCUUUUACACUUGGGUCUAUAUUUUUUUUAAUGUGUCUGGUGACUCUUGGUUUAAAACGACAGACACUGUGACUAGGGGAAAAAAGUACAAUCUUUGGAUGAUAUUGUGGCCAUCAGAGAGGACCCGCCCUGUCCUCUGCCACAGAGCAGGGACAGAUCACCAGUCAAGUCAGGACUGAGCUGUCUAGGACAGGCUGUAGAUAUGGAAGCCCUGGGCUCAAUUUUGCUUCCCCCAAGCCAUAGUAGAGUGAAGUUUCACUGAACUCUUCAACCACUCAAUGCUCAGCCUCUUAGCUGAGCUGAACGUGACUCUCAUGUUGGGUGAGAAUUAGCCACUGCCUCAAGAGGAAAACCAGCACAGGAAGUCCGGCUCUCUUCUGAGAUCCUCGAUUCUCUGAAUAAUUUCCACCCCAAUCCUGGUGGUCCUGGCAGGGCUGAGAGCCAGUGUCUAUCUCCUGAGACUUACAUCAUUAUAGGCAAGAAAGGGAAAUCCCCAUGUGCCAGAAAUGGAGUGGGAACCGCAAGC